Molecule: long non-coding RNA, 216 nt
Organism: Drosophila obscura
Lineage: Eukaryota; Metazoa; Arthropoda; Insecta; Diptera; Drosophilidae
Exons: 2
Source: RefSeq, a predicted model, not a curated record
UGCUGUAAUCGUGAUAGCACAGAGGAAAGGUUCAAAGCAAAAGAAAUCUAUUUCAGUUCCAUUCAGUUUGAGCGAUAAAAUGAAGGUGCUUCUCUGUCUUUUCGCUAUUGUGUCCCUUUUUUUGCACAUGACACUUGGUGACGAUAUGGUUAAAGAAAUUUGCCGUCAGGGAGGCGGUUCAUCAAAGUGCAAGAGAAGCAACACUUAUACUUGGAA